Molecule: ribosomal RNA, 509 nt
Filed under: uncultured bacterium
Lineage: Bacteria
Description: partial 16S ribosomal RNA
Rfam family: Bacterial small subunit ribosomal RNA (bases 20-339)
Source: RNAcentral
GACGAACGCUGGCGGCGUGCUUAACACAUGCAAGUCGAACGGAAAGGCCCUGCUUUUGUGGGGUGCUCGAGUGGCGAACGGGUGAGUAACACGUGAGUAACCUGCCCUUGACUUUGGGAUAACUUCAGGAAACUGGGGCUAAUACCGGAUAGGAGCUCCUGCUGCAUGGUGGGGGUUGGAAAGUUUCGGCGGUUGGGGAUGGACUCGCGGCUUAUCAGCUUGUUGGUGGGGUAGUGGCUUACCAAGGCUUUGACGGGUAGCCGGCCUGAGAGGGUGACCGGGCGCGUGGGGCGGGGGCGCCCGCCGGGCGCGCUGCGGGGGAGGGGGGGGGGCAGUGUGGCACAGGGGGCGGAAGCGGGGGCAGGCAACGCGGCGUGGGGGGGGACGCCGUUCGGGUUGCCAUGCGCGUGCGCCUCGGGCGAGGCGGGGGGGAAGAUGAUGAGUAAGAAAGCAACGGACAACGACGCGCCCCCGGCGGCGAUAAUAAGGGGAGGCGCCCCCGUCUGAUC